CCCCCAGCAGCCUUGCCAGAAAACCUGGAUUUUUGCCAGGUGCUUUGUGUGCAUCAUCUCAUUUAAUUCUCAUGUAAACCUGCAAGGUAGUGGUAUUAUUCCCGUUGUACAAAACUGUGCUAUGAGCUUACAUGGAUGGUGUGGAAGAGCUGGCUUUCAAGCAGUUAUGCUAUGUGACUUCCCUAGUAAUAAAGUUUAUCUAUAGAUUGUUUUCUUUCUUUCUUUCUUUCUUUCUUUCUUUCUUUCUUUCUUUCUUUCUUUCUUUCUUUCUUUCUUUCUUUCUUUCUUUCUUUCUUUCAUGUUUAUUUUUGAGAGAGAGAGAGACAGAGCACAAGUGGGGGAGGGACAGAGAGCAAGAAAGACACAGAAUCCGAAGCAGGCCCCAGGCUGUGAGCUGUCAGCACAGUACCUGACGUGGGGCUGGAACUCAUGAGCCAUGAGAUCAUGACCUGAGCCGAAGUUGGAUGCUCAACCAACUGAGCCAUCCAGACGUCCCUUCUUUUUUUUUCUUAAGUUUAUUUAUUUACUUAGAUUGAGAGAGAGAGAGAGAGAGAGAGAGAGAGCUGAGGAGGGGCAGAGAGACAGAGGGAGGGAAAGAAUACCAAGCAACAUACACCAAGUGUGGAGCCUGACACAGGGCCGGAACUCACGAACCUUGAGAUCAUGCCCUGAACUGAAAUCUAGAGUCAGGUACUUAACCGACUGAGCCACCCAGGUGCCCCUAAUAGAUGGUUUCUUUAAUCAGAUUGUUUCUCUAAUAUUUAGGAAUUUAUUGUUUUAAUUAUAGAUGUAUAUAUGUAUAAAUAUAUACAUAUAUAUACACAUAUUGCUUCCAACAAUAUAUAUAUGUACAACUUGAUGUUGAAAGGUUAAAAAUAAGUUUGCAACACUUAAAAACCUCUCUAGAGUAUACAGUUUACUAAUGGGGUUUUCCAUGUUUCUUGGCUGUGAAUUUUUUUAAACAGUUAACUUUCUUUUUUUUUAAAACAGUUCAAUUUACCCAAUUUCUGUCUUGAUUCCAGUUAAUCAGAAUUUACAAGGAAAUACAUAUAUGUAAUCCAGUCUCUAAGUUUUAAGAUUUUAUGGUUGGAUGAAAUUUUAAAUGGAAAGCAUCCAUAUGAAAAUGUGUCUUGUUAUUUAUUCCUGUUUGAGCAAAGCAAGUUUUUUUCCCCUUAUUGAAGAUCUCCUUUGAGGACAGGAAUGAUAUUUGAAUAUUGUCUUGUUUUUAUGUUCUGUUAACAUUUAUAUUAAAUUUGAAUAUCCUGCUUUAUAGAUAUCGGACUAACGAAAGUUACUGUUUAGUUUCAAAUGCAUCUGUUUUUGUUGGGAAAAAAGUCCAGACACAAAUUGACACCUAAUGAAACAGACUAAAUCAUCACUUUGUUGUUUGGUAAUAGAAAUGCAAAUGGAAUAUGUAAAUUUUAUAGUAUCAUGCCUUUAAAAGAAUUUUCUGUGCUUCGGUUCCCUGGCAGACAAUUUGAGGCCUAGCUCCAUGUUGUGAUGCUGAUACAACAGAACACUGUGUACAUACAUAUGUGCCCUCCUCUGGCACAGAAGAAAUGCUUUCCUUGUGUAGACAGAGUGCUAAUUAAAGGAUUUUGAACAUACUGAUUAAAAGAGACCACGGUAACAAAGCUGCUGAGUUAUUUCUGUUCUCUUACAAAAGUCUCUGCCAUCUCCUGUGACCUUUUUGGGCCUUGUGCAGUGGGGCAUGCAAUUCAUUCUGGACUGGAGAGGAUGGGAAGGGGAGGGGAGGAGGGAAGGGAAUUUUGGCUCAACUGUGCUGCUAGGCUGUUGGCCUUCAUUGUAGUUAUUUUUAACCCCUUGUGUGGUUCAGUUUAAACAUGCCUAGUAGUACUGCCUAAUAAAGAUGUGUGCCUAAUAACUAAUUUAUAUUGUAGUGAGAUUAGUAAUGUUAUACCUCAUCUUACUUAGUUCUCUGGUUGUAUUCUGCUUUAAUUAUGUCAAAUUAUUGCGAUAUAUUUCUGUGGUCACUGGGUUGUUUAAUGAAUAGUAUCAAGAAGUAAUUAAAACUUGAAAGCAUGCCUUGAAACAUAUAAUUUAAUGAUUCUCUUAUUUUAAUAGUAUAUAUGAAAUUCUUAGCAAGGUCUGGCACGUAGUACUCUUUCGGUUGUUACUUUUUACAAUAAUAUUAUAAAAUUAAAAGAAAAAAAUGUUUAGAGACUUGAAAUAUCAAAUCCCCCAUAAUUGUGGGUAAUGUAGGAGUUAUGUAUAUAUUUUUUACUUAGAGUUUAUUAGAAUUUGAAAAGAAAAAAAGAAUCACAAGUGUGUGCUUAGCUAGGAACCUGCAUGUUUAUGUUUAGAGUUCAAAAGUAGACAGUUUUCCUCUGGUUAGAUGUUGGCUGUGUUGAACUCCACAGGGCUAUUUAUGGUCCCCUAUAACAUUGGGGCUCUGUGACAGCAGAUGUAUUUGUGACAAAUAGGCCAUUGGCUGGGACUUCAACAUUCUGUUUUGAGAUUUUGUUGUUACUAGCAUAUGAAUAUGCUGAAUAUGACUUUGUAUAUUAAAGCGUGCACAUUAUAUAAUUUUAACAUUUCACACAAAUUUGCCCAUUAUCUAUAUUGUAUGAUUUUUGCAUUCUUUUUUAGUAGGUGGUUUUCUAAGACAAGAUUGGUAAUUCCUGCAGACUUUUAAAAAGAUCUUCAGAUUGCUGUAACUGUAUAAUCAUAUGUCAUUGUCUUCAGUUUCCUAUUUUUAAAAUGGAGUGCUGGCUACAGGACUUUUUAUGACCCUGUAUUUAUGAAAUUGCCUUCAAGCCACGGAAUGUGGGGACGGGUUUCAUUGUAGCGGUGUGGGUUAUUGGUCUUUGCCAGUAUAUUUUAUAAGAAGAAAUAGGAGACUUCUUGCACAAUUCAAGGCCGUAUCUUGGCAAAUUGAUGUUCCUCAUGAUGGAAUUACAGGAAGGAUGAUAUAUUUUAAGUAUGGCAUCCUGAAGUUGCAGUACUCUGCUGUGUGUUGCUUUCUGAUUUAUGAUGUUGGAGUUUUUUCCUUAAAUGUCAGUAUUUGGGUUUCCUGAAGAUGAUCUCCCAGUUCUCCAUAAACAUAUCUACAUUGUUUCAUUAGCAGUGCAAAGUGAAGACGAAGACUUUUCUUGGCCAUUGCUUGACCCUGAGCAAAGCUGUGAAUAUAGUUGAGUGAUUCUGCAGACAGACCAGCUGCAGAGUUUCCCUCCUAGAGGGGGACAGAAAGAGACUUUCAGUCCUCUCAGGCUGAAAUGGGAGAACCAUCCUACCUUGAAUAAAUGGGCCCAUUGUUAAUUUUAA
This is a long non-coding RNA of Neofelis nebulosa (Clouded leopard), 3285 nucleotides long. RefSeq lists it as uncharacterized. The transcript is spliced from 2 exons. The record is from RefSeq and is a predicted model, not a curated record. NCBI's taxonomy places the organism in Eukaryota, Metazoa, Chordata, Mammalia, Carnivora, Felidae.